AGAACCAAGUUAUUGAAACCCCUUGUUCCCUUUCCAGCCUGGGCUGGUUUGUUCCGCAAUGGCCCAAACCAAAUAAGAACAUGCAUGUCUCGAGGAACAGCCUUUCCCAUGGUCAAGCUCAGCGUGCCUUCUGCCAGGCCUGUCCCCUUACCACCAUCUCCAUUGGAUUCAUCUGUACAAAACACACUUGCCACUAGUC
RNAcentral lists this long non-coding RNA (199 nucleotides) under Mus pahari (shrew mouse). RNAcentral describes it as "lncRNA (MGP_PahariEiJ_G0032870.1)". Lineage: Eukaryota; Metazoa; Chordata; Mammalia; Rodentia; Muridae. The record is from RNAcentral.